GACGAACGCUGGCGGCGUGCUUAACACAUGCAAGUCGAACGGAAAGGCCCUGCUUUUGUGGGGUGCUCGAGUGGCGAACGGGUGAGUAACACGUGAGUAACCUGCCCUUGACUUUGGGAUAACUUCAGGAAACUGGGGCUAAUACCGGAUAGGAGCUCCUGCUGCAUGGUGGGGGUUGGAAAGUUUCGGCGGUUGGGGAUGGACUCGCGGCUUAUCAGCUUGUUGGUGGGGUAGUGGCUUACCAAGGCUUUGACGGGUAGCCGGCCUGGGAGGGUGACCGGCCACAUUGGGACUGAGAUCCGGCCCAGCCCCCUCCGGGGGGCAGCGGGGGGGAAUUUUGCACAAUGGGCGGAAGCCUGAUGCAGCAACCCCGCGGGCGGGAUGACGGCCUUCGGGUUGAAAACCGCUUUCGCCUGGGACGAAGCGUGGGUGACGGUAAUGGGUAAAGAAGCACCGGCUAACUACGU
This 467-nucleotide ribosomal RNA is filed under the name uncultured bacterium. RNAcentral describes it as "partial 16S ribosomal RNA". It matches the Rfam family "Bacterial small subunit ribosomal RNA", at positions 28 to 506 of the family's 1533-position model. The record is from RNAcentral.